Molecule: long non-coding RNA, 1210 nt
Organism: Pseudopodoces humilis (Tibetan ground-tit)
Lineage: Eukaryota; Metazoa; Chordata; Aves; Passeriformes; Paridae
Source: RefSeq, a predicted model, not a curated record
GUCCUAAAAUGCAAGACAAGAAAUGCAAGACAUUUUUAACCACUUCAGCUGAGCCACUGGAAACCUCUGCAAAGGAGGUUAUCCUGGGCUGACUUUCUGCUGUUCGUAUCCCCAAUGGUCCGUUCUGUUUCUGCUGGAUAUUGAAUUCCGCACGUUUCAAAGCGGCUCCGGAGCGAAGGGGAGGGACAAAAGAAGCCGCGGUUUGUUUUGAGAAACAGCGCUCACCCCGCCCCGCUCCGGCCUGUGCUGUCUGCAGCACGGACACAGCGUUUAGUUAUUGUUUAGCUGGCUGAGAAAUUCCCCGGACGGUGUUUUCCUUUUUCCUUGGAUCUUUCCAAGCCUGCUCUGGACUGCAAACCCAGACAACCCUGGGAGCUCCCACCUGUGGCUCAGCGGGGCCUGGGCCUCGGCACUUUGCAGCGCCGGAGGGACCGAGAAGAGACUGAGCUGCAGCCCACGGCAAGGACUUUCUGAAUUUGCCAUCUCUUCCAACAGCGAGAGGUUUUAUUCCUUGAGGCAAGGGCUGAAGAACUGAACUGAUGUGAAGACAAAAUUAUCAGUCCAGCCUUGUGCAAUCCUGUGUACAUCGUCCUUGGAGCCAGGCAGGGGCCUACAACUAUCUGGGAGAUUUGCUUGUUUCACUGACACAGCUUCAGCUCCCCACUAAGGUACUGCCUUAUCACCACUGACAAGAUUACAGUGAUUUCCUUGAUGUGUGGGGAAUUUAGCAGGCAGCUGCGGCUAAUCCCGUACGGAGUGUUCUCCCACUGAGGUACAUGGAGAUUUGAAUGCUGCAAAUAAUGUGAAAAAAAGAGUAUCAUUUUUAAAAGCAUGUUAAUUCUCAUUCUGCUUGCUGGUGCAGAUACAGGUUAGCAUUACUGCCCUCCUGUAAAAGCUCAGAACUCGGCCUGGACUGGUGCUUGUCGAGUUCUUCCGGAAGUUGGGAUGAGAAAUCCACGUUCAGCCCUGCGAGGCAUACAGGCCACCUUCUGGGGACAAUACCGAUUAAUUUAAAUUUGCACAAAUAACGCAUAAAUAGUUUAAAAAUGUAGUUGUUUUGGGAGGCAUACUGCAGUGGUUUCGGUUUUUGGAGCAGCAGGGAUCGCUGGAGCUGGGCAGGCCGAUGGCUUGUCCUCCCGGCCCGGCAGUUUCCGGCGAGCCCAGCGGCGGCGGCGCUGCUGGAAACAGCACGGCCGGAAAGAGCUCGGCC